Molecule: transfer RNA, 66 nt
Filed under: Heptagenia sulphurea
Lineage: Eukaryota; Metazoa; Arthropoda; Insecta; Ephemeroptera; Heptageniidae
Description: tRNA-Thr
Rfam family: tRNA
About the family: Transfer RNA (tRNA) molecules are approximately 80 nucleotides in length. Their secondary structure includes four short double-helical elements and three loops (D, anti-codon, and T loops). Further hydrogen bonds mediate the characteristic L-shaped molecular structure. tRNAs have two regions of fundamental functional importance: the anti-codon, which is responsible for specific mRNA codon recognition, and the 3' end, to which the tRNAs corresponding amino acid is attached (by aminoacyl-tRNA synthetases). tRNAs cope with the degeneracy of the genetic code in two manners: having more than one tRNA (with a specific anti-codon) for a particular amino acid; and 'wobble' base-pairing, i.e. permitting non-standard base-pairing at the 3rd anti-codon position.
Source: RNAcentral
GUUUUAAUAGUUUAAGAAUAAAACUUUGGUCUUGUAAACCAAAAAUGAGACUUUUCUCUUAAAACU